CAGUCGCGUUCUCUGGGAUUCAGCCUUGCUUCUUGCUUGGUGCAUUUCCUAGUCUACGGGCCAGCAUGAAUCUUGAGCGGUGGAAAAGGGUUUGGGGAAUGUGGCACCUCCGGGUGUGUUAUAGCCCGGAGUGCCAUGCGACCAGCCUGGACUGAGGUCCGCGCAUCUGCUAGGAUGCUGGCGUAAUGGCUGUAAGCGGCCCGUCUUGAAACACGGACCAAGGAGUCUAGCAUAUAUGCGAGUGUU
Molecule: ribosomal RNA, 246 nt
Filed under: Paraglomus brasilianum
Lineage: Eukaryota; Fungi; Glomeromycota; Glomeromycetes; Paraglomerales; Paraglomeraceae
Source: RNAcentral